RNAcentral lists this long non-coding RNA (241 nucleotides) under Setaria italica (foxtail millet). RNAcentral describes it as "long non-coding RNA (SITA_LNC006031)". Lineage: Eukaryota; Viridiplantae; Streptophyta; Magnoliopsida; Poales; Poaceae. The record is from RNAcentral.
AAAAAUCAUCGUGUCUCCAUGCCGGGAGUUUUCCUUCUCUACCUUAUUUACCUUCUACAUUUCUUAUUUUUACUUACUUUCCGCAUUUACCUUUCCUAGAAUUGCCAUGUGUAAUUUAUAGGAUUGGAACCUAGGGUGUAAACUAUUUUACGGUAUAGAUAGCAACACAUAGAAAAACCUAGUGCACAUCUAGAUAGAAAUUGGAAUAUGUUUUUAUAUGUGCUUAGAGCCUUAGUUUUUA